Molecule: long non-coding RNA, 1463 nt
Filed under: Helianthus annuus (common sunflower)
Lineage: Eukaryota; Viridiplantae; Streptophyta; Magnoliopsida; Asterales; Asteraceae
Source: RNAcentral
AAAUACGAGAAUUCCUCCUAGAGAAUCCCAACUGGAGCAGAACUGAUCGGCCGUGAAUGAAUGUUUUAAAAGAGAGAGAGAGUGUGUUUAUGGCAGAGCGUUAGAGAGAGAGAGAGGGAGAACGCAGGAGAAAAGGCCGACCCGGUCAAUCAACUGCGAUCUCCCACGCUUCACUUCACUUGGUCGGAGAACGAACACGCCUACACCCCGCUCCGCUAAUCAUCCCCCUUCUGAUCUUCUCUUUUCUCGUGAUAUUAUUGUUUCUAUAUACUUUCAGAUUCAUAAUUAGGGUUUUUUACUUUUGUAAACUAUAGGAAUUCCUGAUGGCUUCGAAACGGAUCUUGAAAGAACUCAAGGAUAUCCAGAAGGAUCCUCCUACCUCUUGCAGUGCAGGUUUCUUUCUAUCGGGCUGAAGGCCUGCUUGGUUCAUAAAGUUCAGAGAAUGUAUUCGAAUUCAUCCACAGCUUUGUGAUGGACCAAUUAACGCCUUUACAGUAACGUGUACUGUAACCAUGGGUUCAUUUAUGUAACCUCACAGGGUACGUUGGAGAUCUGUCUACUUCUAUCUUUGUUAGCAUAUGACAAUUAUUGGCCAGUACAAAAGAUCCCCUUGAAGGCCACUCGGCAUCAAGUAACAUACUUUGCUGAGAAGAACCUAUACCCACUUAUAGUUUCUGUUCCUGUCUCAAAGCCUAUAAAUCAAGUGCUAUCAACUCUGGUUGAUCAAGAAUCUGGCCACCAAAUUGAGCAUGAUAAUUUAAAUCUUGAUGGUACUUAAUAUUGUUGAAGAAUUCGAGGUUAGAAUUUUGGAACCAGAGAGUUCUGGUGGGCCAUGGCAAAAAAAGGAACUAUUCACAUACAAACUUCUGAGCCUGCGUUAACUGUCAGUGGUUACAUUAUCUAAUACAACAACAAGAGAGAAUGAAACUCUGUUGGCAAUUGGGACUGCCUAUGUGCAAGGGGAAGAUGUAGCUGCAAGAGGACGUGUUCUUUUGUUCUCAGUUGAAAAUAGCACUGAGAAUUCACCGGCAAAGGCAAAGUGCUCAUUGUGGUGGCUCAAUGGUGAUUCCAACAAGGCCGUGGGCGGCUGGAGCUUUUUGUUGCUAUUGUUGAAGCCUCCUUUAGUUCCUGGAAUAGGGGGGAAAAGUAAGGAGCUAGGAUAAUGAUGUAAACUGUACUGUAUAUGUGCCCCGAUUUGAGAGGAGAUCGGGUUUCUACUCCCUUCACUGACCAGAGAAUGUUACGACUUGUGUUUCUUGGGAUGGUAAUGGGCACGGUUUAUGCGUAGUCAAGAAACUUAACGUAUUGAUACGUAGUUCUUUAACUUUUACACAGCCUUUGGAAUGCCUUUGUGAUCAUAGAUCUUAUGACGUAGUUUUUUCCUUACGUCUCAUUUUGCCAAUUUAUUUUUCUACUUUUGUACAAAAAUAAUGUUUGGGAUUAAUAAUUGAUACAUUUUUUUU